Molecule: unclassified non-coding RNA, 331 nt
Filed under: soil metagenome
Description: partial contains 5.8S ribosomal RNA, internal transcribed spacer 2, and large subunit ribosomal RNA
Rfam family: 5.8S ribosomal RNA (bases 1-120)
Source: RNAcentral
GAUGAAGAACGUAGCGAAAUGCGAUAAGUAAUGUGAAUUGCAGAAUUCAGUGAAUCAUCGAAUCUUUGAACGCACAUUGCGCCCCCUGGUAUUCCGGGGGGCAUGCCUGUUCGAGCGUCAUUUCACCACUCAAGCCUCGCUUGGUAUUGGGCAACGCGGUCCGCCGCGUGCCUCAAAUCGACCGGCUGGGUCUUCUGUCCCCUAAGCGUUGUGGAAACUAUUCGGUAAAGGGUGCUCGGGAGGCUACGCCGUAAAACAAACCCAUUUCUAAGGUUGACCUCGGAUCAGGUAGGGAUACCCGCUGAACUUAAGCAUAUCAAUAAGCGGAGGA